This 520-nucleotide non-coding RNA is filed under the name uncultured Glomus. Its description in RNAcentral is "SSU rRNA". It matches the Rfam family "Eukaryotic small subunit ribosomal RNA", at positions 569 to 1093 of the family's 1831-position model. RNAcentral also lists the same sequence under 1 other name. Lineage: Eukaryota; Fungi; Glomeromycota; Glomeromycetes; Glomerales; Glomeraceae. The record is from RNAcentral.
AGCAGCCGCGGUAAUUCCAGCUCCAAUAGCGUAUAUUAAAGUUGUUGCAGUUAAAAAGCUCGUAGUUGAAUUUCGGGGUCAGUAGGUCGGUCGUGCCACAGGUAUGCACUGGUCUCACUGAUUCCUCCUUCCUGAUGAACCGUAAUGCCAUUAAUUUGGUGUUGCGGGGAGACUGGACUGUUACUUUGAAAAAAUUAGAGUGUUUAAAGCAGGCUAACGCUUGAAUACAUUAGCAUGGAAUAACGGAAUAGGACGUUCGAUCUUAUUUUGUUGGUUUCUAAGAUUGACGUAAUGAUUAAUAGGGAUAGUUGGGGGCAUUAGUAUUCAAUUGUCAGAGGUGAAAUUCUUGGAUUUAUUGAAGACUAACUACUGCGAAAGCAUUUGCCAAGGAUGUUUUCAUUAAUCAAGAACGAAAGUUGGGGGCUCGAAGACGAUCAGAUACCGUCCUAGUCUCAACCAUAAACGAUGCCGACCAGGGAUCGGCGGAUGUUGCUUUUAGGACUCCGCCGGCACCUUAUGG